GUUGCCUCGGCGGGAUCUCUGCCCCGGGUGCGUCGCAGCCCCGGACCAAGGCGCCCGCCGGAGGACCAACCAAAACUCUUAUUGUAUACCCCCUCGCGGGUUUUUUUAUAAUCUGAGCCUUCUCGGCGCCUCUCGUAGGCGUUUCGAAAAUGAAUCAAAACUUUCAACAACGGAUCUCUUGGUUCUGGCAUCGAUGAAGAACGCAGCGAAAUGCGAUAAGUAAUGUGAAUUGCAGAAUUCAGUGAAUCAUCGAAUCUUUGAACGCACAUUGCGCCCGCCAGUAUUCUGGCGGGCAUGCCUGUCCGAGCGUCAUUUCAACCCUCGAACCCCUCCGGGGGGUCGGCGUUGGGGAUCGGCCCUGACUUGGCGGUGGCCGUCUCCGAAAUACAGUGGCGGUCUCGCCGCAGCCUCUCCUGCGCAGUAGUUUGCACACUCGCAUCGGGAGC
This 446-nucleotide ribosomal RNA is filed under the name Trichoderma sp. CBMAI 852. RNAcentral's name for it is "eukaryotic LSU rRNA". The stretch from base 159 to 312 matches the Rfam family "5.8S ribosomal RNA". The record is from RNAcentral. Lineage: Eukaryota; Fungi; Ascomycota; Sordariomycetes; Hypocreales; Hypocreaceae.